ACAGAAGAGCUUGCUCCUUGGGUGACGAGUGGCGGACGGGUGAGUAAUGUCUGGGAAACUGCCUGAUGGAGGGGGAUAACUACUGGAAACGGUAGCUAAUACCGCAUAACGUCGCAAGACCAAAGAGGGGGACCUUCGGGCCUCUUGCCAUCAGAUGUGCCCAGAUGGGAUUAGCUAGUAGGUGGGGUAACGGCUCACCUAGGCGACGAUCCCUAGCUGGUCUGAGAGGAUGACCAGCCACACUGGAACUGAGACACGGUCCAGACUCCUACGGGAGGCAGCAGUGGGGAAUAUUGCACAAUGGGCGCAAGCCUGAUGCAGCCAUGCCGCGUGUAUGAAGAAGGCCUUCGGGUUGUAAAGUACUUUCAGCGGGGAGGAAGGUGUUGUGGUUAAUAACCACAGCAAUUGACGUUACCCGCAGAAGAAGCACCGGCUAACUCCGUGCCAGCAGCCUCGGUAAUACGGAGGGUGCAAGCGUUAAUCGGAAUUACUGGGCGUAAAGCGCACGCAGGCGGUCUGUCAAGUCGGAUGUGAAAUCCCCGGGCUCAACCUGGGAACUGCAUUCGAAACUGGCAGGCUGGAGUCUCGUAGAGGGAGGUAGAAUUCCAGGUGUAGCGGUGAAAUGCGUAGAGAUCUGGAGGAAUACCGGUGGCGAAGGCGGCCUCCUGGACGAAGACUGACGCUCAGGUGCGAAAGCGUGGGGAGCAAACAGGAUUAGAUACCCUGGUAGUCCACGCUGUAAACGAUGUCGAUUUGGAGGUUGUGCCCUUGAGGCGUGGCUUCCGGAGCU
This 790-nucleotide ribosomal RNA is filed under the name uncultured bacterium. Its description in RNAcentral is "SSU rRNA". It matches the Rfam family "Bacterial small subunit ribosomal RNA", at positions 70 to 853 of the family's 1533-position model. The record is from RNAcentral.